GCCAGUGUGGCAAAGUGGUUUUAAGUGUUGGACUGUGACUCUGGAGACCAGGGUUCAAUUCCCAGUUCAGCCA
Molecule: non-coding RNA, 73 nt
Organism: Phrynosoma platyrhinos (Desert horned lizard)
Lineage: Eukaryota; Metazoa; Chordata; Lepidosauria; Squamata; Phrynosomatidae
Source: the annotation of a GenBank genome assembly